RNAcentral lists this ribosomal RNA (316 nucleotides) under uncultured eukaryote. RNAcentral's name for it is "partial large subunit ribosomal RNA". It matches the Rfam family "Eukaryotic large subunit ribosomal RNA", at positions 40 to 350 of the family's 3401-position model. The record is from RNAcentral.
AUAUUAUUAAGCGGAGGAAAAGAAACUAACCAGGAUUCCUUUAGUAACGGCGAGUGAACAAGGAACAGCCCAUCACCGAAUCCUUCUCGGUAAACGGGAAAGGAAUUGUGGUGUAAAGGACAGGUUUCGUGGCAUGGUUGUCGGCCCAAGUUCUCUUGAAUGGGGCUCCCCGAGCGGGUGUCAGGCCUCUAGCGACCGAUCGACUUUGUCACUUUUCUUGUCCCGAGAGUCGGGUUGCUUGAGAUCGCAGCCCUAAGACGGGUGGUAUACUCCAUCCAAGGCUAAAUACCGUCGCGAGACCGAUAGCGCACAAGUA